GACGAACGCUGGCGGCGUGCUUAACACAUGCAAGUCGAACGGAAAGGCCCCUUUGGGGGUACUCGAGUGGCGAACGGGUGCGUAACACGUGAGUAACCUGCCCUUGACUUCGGGAUAACUUCAGGAAACUGGGGCUAAUACCGGAUAGGAAUCCUUGCUGCAUGGUGGGGGUUGGAAAGCUUCGGCGGUUUUGGAUGGACUCGCGGCUUAUCAGCUUGUUGGUGGGGUAGUGGCUUACCAAGGCUUUGACGGGUAGCCGGCCUGAGAGGGCGACCGGCCACAUUGGGACUGAGAUACGGCCCAGACUCCUACGGGAGGCAGCAGUGGGGAAUAUUGCACAAUGGGCGGAAGCCUGAUGCGGCAACGCCGCGUGCGGGAUGACGGCCUUCGGGUUGUAAACCGCUUUCAGCAGGGGCGAAGCUUGUGGUGACGGUGCCUGCAGAAGAAGCACCGGCUAACUACGUG
This 465-nucleotide ribosomal RNA is filed under the name uncultured bacterium. RNAcentral's name for it is "partial 16S ribosomal RNA". It matches the Rfam family "Bacterial small subunit ribosomal RNA", at positions 28 to 507 of the family's 1533-position model. The record is from RNAcentral.